AUGCAAGCCAAGCCUGCUUUCGGUUCUGUGAGGAGUGCCAAUACACAUGUAUGGUCAGAACAGAUGGAUAAGUACCAUGAACUGCGCAAUAUGGCUAGUGAGGCUUUAUUCACGGCCUCAGCUAGUGAAAUGCAGUCAGAAAAGGUGAUGGAGUACCUGAGGAGCAUAUUGGACGAGGGCAACAAAAAUGAUGGGAAUACUGGCACGCCAUCAUUUGUUCCUAUGCCGGCUUAUUUUUCUGGGGCGCGGCAAUGGUUUACAGAUCAAGUCCAAGACCCUAAACCAAUAAUAAAUCCCAAAGGCAGACCAGCCAAAGAAUCGAAUAAGAGGUUGAAGCCAUUCCUGGAGAAUUUGCAAGCAAAAAAGAAAACAUUGAAGAAAGUUCAUGGUCAGUUGAGUAGGGGAGGAAGAAAAAAGUGA
RNAcentral lists this ribosomal RNA (420 nucleotides) under Triticum aestivum (bread wheat). RNAcentral describes it as "partial small subunit ribosomal RNA". The record is from RNAcentral. Lineage: Eukaryota; Viridiplantae; Streptophyta; Magnoliopsida; Poales; Poaceae.